AGGUGGAGUUCGUAGAUGGUAGAGAAACGAGAAGACGCGACGUCAACAUACUAUCACCACCAUCGCCAUCUCUCCCAUCCCCAAUCGCUCAUCACCACCACCAUGGCUUCUAAGAUCUGUCUUCACCGGAGUCGCCACCACCACCGUCACGCUCGUCUCUUCUCUCUUUCUCUCGGAGAGAGUAAACCUGCUGAGUUUCUCGCCGACGUCUUGGUGGUCACAGAGAGAGAUUGUGAAGAAGAUGAUUGAAAUGAUCGACUCUUGUUUUGAUUGUGGGAAUGUGAUAUGUGCCAGAUAUGACAAGACCUUGUUUCUAGGAAAGCAGCGCCAGCAAGUGUGGACCUCCUCUAUGACAUCUCAGAUGAUGUAUGAGAACAGAGGCUUAAGUCGGAGAUGGCAGAGAAAGCUAGUGGUGGUGGUGUAGGCCUAAUGGAAGAAAGUAUGCUGCUCUCUCUAGUGCUUUGGGUACUUUACCUUGGGAAAAGCUUCAAUCUUCUGAAUUUGAGCAAUUGGCUAGUGAAUACGCGGCAUGGACACUUACCAAUGGCUAUGCACUUAACCACGUCACUAUCUCUGUCCAUCAGCUUAAAUCUCAUCCAAACAAGAAGAAGAAGAAGAGAAGAAAGAGACAGGAAGAAGAAGACGACAGAACUGCGAUGGGAGGGAGACCGCAGCUUAGAGCUUUAAGUUUUGGUUUAUUAGGCUUGGUUCAAUUUUUUUGGUUUAUUA
This is a long non-coding RNA of Brassica oleracea var. oleracea, 729 nucleotides long. RefSeq lists it as uncharacterized. The transcript is spliced from 4 exons. Lineage: Eukaryota; Viridiplantae; Streptophyta; Magnoliopsida; Brassicales; Brassicaceae. The record is from RefSeq and is a predicted model, not a curated record.